This 21-nucleotide microRNA is filed under the name Gallus gallus (chicken). RNAcentral's name for it is "gga-miR-1572". The record is from miRBase by way of RNAcentral. Lineage: Eukaryota; Metazoa; Chordata; Aves; Galliformes; Phasianidae.
GAACCUGACACACGGGCCUGC